CCCGCCGGCGACCGGCGCACGGGUGAGUAACACGUAUGCAACCUGGCCGCCACAGGGGGAUAACCCGCGGAAACGCGGCCUAAUACCCCGUGACGCCACCGGAGGGCAUCCUCCGGUGGCCAAAGGAGCGAUCCGGUGGCGGAUGGGCAUGCGGCGCAUUAGCUAGACGGCGGGGUGGCGGCCCACCGUGGCGACGAUGCGUAGGGGUUCUGAGAGGAAGGCCCCCCACACUGGGACUGAGACACGGCCCAGACUCCUACGGAAGGCAGCAG
Molecule: ribosomal RNA, 272 nt
Filed under: uncultured bacterium
Lineage: Bacteria
Description: partial 16S ribosomal RNA
Rfam family: Bacterial small subunit ribosomal RNA
Source: RNAcentral